RNAcentral lists this long non-coding RNA (390 nucleotides) under Lepidothrix coronata (blue-crowned manakin). RNAcentral describes it as "lncRNA (ENSLCOG00000010792.1)". Lineage: Eukaryota; Metazoa; Chordata; Aves; Passeriformes; Pipridae. The record is from RNAcentral.
GCUGGUUUGGGUCCCCUCCCCUGGCACCGUGGGGCUGUGCUGGCAGGGAGGCAGCCGUGCUGCUGGGUGGAGAUUGCGCCACUGAGCACACGGGCUGGGCUUUGCCUGCACUCCCGGAAGCCACAACCACAGCUGCUCCAGCGCUGGGGCGAAAAGCAGCCGCAUCCUGCCAUUCCUGCUGGAAACAGAAGGCACACGUCUAUCCAAACAGUCUCCCUCUGCGGAUGCAUCAAAACCACAAAUUAUGAAGCCGUCUGAAACCAGGUCAGCACCGACAACCAAAGCAGGAUCUGAAAAAAACACCCAGGCAGCCAAGGUAAGUACUUAACUUUCACUUUUGCAGAUUUGCUGUACUUUGGUCUUUUACUAACUUAGAGGCAAAACUCUUUG